UGGGACACUGGUUUUUCAAUUGGCCUCCAAGGUCUGUCUAGAAGAAUAAAAUCAGGCAACAGAACUUAUUUAGCUUUGCCUGGAAUUUUCUCCCAGUUUUCGUAGCUGAAGUAAAAACCUGAAUGUGGUUUGGAAUGAGUGGAAUAUCUCACAUCAGAAGAAAUGACAUUUUCCCCUUUCCAAUACUAAUGAGCAAAUCAAAGGAGACAAAGGACUAGAUGUGAAACAGGCCGGGAAACAGGGGAAAUGUGCCUCUUCUAUCCAAUGGUCCAAUGCCCCAGACAUGCACCCACCUCCAGUCCUAUUUAACCAAGAAGCUUCAAUCCAGAUCUUGACUUUCCAGGCUGUGCCCUCACCAGUAGGUGACACAGGUGGGACAUGGAGCAUCUCCUGUUGGCAACUGUCUCCUCCACACAGAGCUAUGGGGACUAAAGCACAUCUAUGCUCCCUGCUACACAGGACACCUGCUUUCUGUACCCCACUCCACCAAGCAUUUGGCCACAUAUGUAUAGUAGAACAGCAUCAAGAAGAGAGAAUGAGAUUGACCCACCACCCCAGGAAGACGUGUGGGCUCUGUCUGAGGCAUACACAAAGCACACAAGAAGUGCAGAGAAUUGUUUUCAUUAUACAAACUAAAUGGAAGGCUGCAGCCCUCAAAAGGCAAGGUAUGGUUUGUGCACAGAAAAUACUUGUGUUUUGCUGAAGCUGGCUUUUAAACCAGUUUAAUUAAAACGACUUGCUUCUGUCCAUUCUGGUCAAGCAGUUCAUCUGGUGUAGCUCAGCCAUUAAAGAAUCAGCUGCAGCAAAGCCAGCGUCAAACUGCUCACAAACCGAAGUAAGAGCCGCUCCAAGUUAAGGAAAUUGUUUUUAAAACACACCCUUGGUUAAGUGGUGCAUGUCAGUAUCGAUAAUGCAUAGCUGCCGGCUGCCUGCGCGCUGGGCUUCCCUGCCUGCAGCUGGUGGCAUGGCUCUGACCUGGGGUGCUUGCUGGGAGCUGCGCUCCUCCCGUUGGUUUGGGUGCUGAUGAAGGAGGCAGGGAGCAGCAGGCAGACCUCACGGGGUCUGAACUCAGUGCUUCGGCAGCAAAGUGAACGCGGCGCUCGCUUUGAAUAAAUUGACUUUAAAUCCCAUUUAUUUUUGAUCCUCACUUUCUCUUAAUAGCUUGCGACUCAGUUCAGGAUCUGAGAUUUCUGCAGAAAGUGGUGCUGUGGGGGAGGUUUCUUCAUUUAUCAGCCUGUUUUACAAUCUUUUGCUUCACUUCCAAGGCAGACACAUUGAUGGAAUAACUACUGUAUGGCUGUGCCACAGUUGUAGAAGUGCACGUUCUGUUACAUUUUGGUGUGGUUUUGUUUUCACACACUGGCUAUUUUUUUGUUGAAGUAACUCUUUUUUCCUAAUACCUCCAGCCACAAAGUAGUUUCAUCUCAGCAGAUGUCUUAAGCAUAGUUCAGCUGCAUCAGCAGAUAUUCCGUCGAUGGUAUUGCUCCCCUGUGACUCUCAACAAGGAUUUUAUUUUAUUUUUUUUUAUUUAAGUGCUGGCAACAUGGUUUAUUUAUAACAAGGAACAUAUUUCAAGAGCAUUUUCCAUAUCCAUAUCUAUUUCUUCAAUCUUUAUCUCAGUAAAUAGAACUUUGUGUUCACAUUUAGAUUUUUCUUUUUCUCCCCCUCCCUGUGCUUUCUGCUCUUCAAACAGCAGCAUGGCUAAGAAACGUUUGGUGAAAGUGCUGUUUGACCAGUACUAUAGUCUAGAGCAGACUCAGAGGCACUAUGCAAACAUUUUCUUUACAACAUUAGUUCUUUCACCUACCAGAUAUAUCAAGGUAAAAGUUCGUAACACUGCUUUUUUCCCUCAUGUGUGUUUCAAUCUUUCUGACAUCUGGAAAAAGUGGUUUUUGACUUGGUCCUUCCUGCAUAACUUCUGUUUAAACUCGAUUCACAAAAAAGAUAUAGUGUUUGCCUAGGGUUCGGGUGAUUAAGGCUGUUUCUCCUUUUGCCUGGCAGUGCUACAACUCUUUGGUAGAAGGAGCCCCAAAAGAACUACGCUGGGAAUUGUCACGUUUUAUGAUGUAUGAGCUUCUUUUUCUUUUUAAUUUUACCACAAGAAAAGAAGGAGCAGUAUCCCAUCUGCACGGAUCUCCUCAGCCCUGCCAAAGGUCGAGGCUCAGAGCUGGUUAACCAUUAAAAUGAAAGGCCAAAAUCCUGCAGAGUCCUCUCAGGCAAAGCUCCCGUCUCCUUCGGAGCACCACUGUAGAUGGUACAAAUGAAAAGAAGAAAGAAUGUCUCCUCCCCAUUGUCCAUAGUCACACAACACGGUCUGACCAUUCGGCUGCAAAGGUCUUCAGAGCAGGGCUGUUGAGCCCUGUUUUCAUUCCUGGUAGUGUUACUUGUGCAUUUGAGAAAUAACCAAACCUUUUUCCUUCAUGCACAUUUCUAAAAUAUUUGGGGCAGAGCUGUUUAGAAACAGUACUGAAACAUGCAUUAAUUUAUCCACCCUUCAUAACCUCCUUAUGGUCACAGGGAAGGUUUGUUGGGGGAAAGGUGUGGUUACAUGAUCUUUUCAUUCGUGAUUUGGGUCAUAGAGGUAGUUAUAGAAAGGAUAGGGAUUUCAGCUGUUGUAUAUCCUUAGCGAGGGACCUAUUCCUAUCCUGACUCCCAGCACUGUGCUCAGAGUCUCAGGGCUGCUGGUGCACAGGCUGUGCUUGGGCUGUCAGCACACACCUCCUGCCCUUGCACCAUCAUGACUCCUCUGGGAAGGAUCAUAUGUACCUUUGAGCCUUUCCAGCCUGAUGUGGUAACUGCAAGGACAGAUGGCUAGUGAGAAACCUGGGAGCUGCCUGCAGCAUAGCUAGAGUUGCCCUUGGGUGGCACAGUAAGCCCUGGCCAGAGAUUAAGUGCCUCCCAGGGAGUAACACUGGGAUUUCUGCAGCCUAGCAGAAGGUGUUGCUCUAGGUGGGCAAUGAGGGCUCCUGGCUGCCUCAGCCUCAGCCCUACCCUUCAGGUCACUCUGUGCAGCAGUGCAGGUGGAGCCAUUUGGGAUGGCAAGAUCAUGGUGUUUACUUCACCAGACUGAAGCUGUAAGACUCUUAGCAAUGGUGACAACUGAGCUGGAGAUGGCAGCAGACCCUUAUCAUGAAAAAAGAGGCCUAUGUUUUCAAACUGUCUUUUUAAAUUGUCUGUUUCCAGAAUGUCCAAGGUACCUUUUCUGAAUGGAGGCAUUGUUGUUGCAGAUCCCCUUCAUGCCAUCUUGAUUAUAUAGGCCUGACACCCAAAGCCAUGUUCAUGCCAGCGUAUGCACAGAAAGCCUCUUCUGACUCUGUGAAACUCUCUGGAGUCUCUGUCUCAGCCUCCUUCCCCUAUGGCACUCUGUGCUUUGUAGUAUCUGGAGCCUGUUGAACUUUGGGGGAGAUCAGCACACCCACCUUGUCACAGGAGUCCAUCAGAGAAAAAAAAUCCACUUUCCUUGGCCUUCUGAAAACAGGGGGCAAAUUUGUGUUGUUAAUAUUUCACCAAGUAGUGGUAUAAUUGCCAUCUACACGCACGCUUCAAACAUAUGGGUUACGCCUAAGAUGAGGUGGCUAUAUAUCUUUACAUGUUGAAAGUGGCAAUCCUAUUUCCCCAUUUCUAAACUUGAUCAGCAACUUCCCAUUAAAUACAUGUGUUUCACCCUCAUUUUGUUCUUUUCCCCUUUUAUCCCAUUUCCACUUCACUCUGGGACAAGUUCAGCUCUGACAGAUACAAGUUUAACUCCUCUGAAUUAAGAAAAGCCACAUAAAUUUUCAUUCUUCCUUUGCUGGACUAUCCCAUCUUUCACUUAGAAAUUUAUCAGAUAAUGUUCUCCACAAAAUUAUAUAAAACCAGGAUAAUGCCAGAACAGGAGUUUCUCCAAUUUUUAAAAUAAUUUGGCUUCUUAAUGUGUCCAAAUAUAUGUAGUGGGAGAGGGGAAAUUUAACACAGUGGAAUGUUACACCACAAUAACAAAGAAUUUCAGCAGGUUGUAUGAUACCAUAUUUCCAUUCUUUCCCCUAACAUCCUUGCAAAUAUGUGGCAUUCAUUUAAAAAAUAUAUUUAGCAACAAAAUCCAUACCAAUUAAACAAAGCUCAGCUGUGUCUGUCUAGCAUCACAACUGAGAGUUGCUUUUUAGUUUGUUUAACUGAGAAGGUUUUAAAGCACAAUAGCUCUUCACAGGAAAAGAAAUAAAAAUUUGCAAAGAAAAAUUACUGACAAGAUAAUUAAAAAUAAAAUCCCUAAAUAAUAAUAU
This is a non-coding RNA of Phalacrocorax carbo (great cormorant), 4259 nucleotides long. NCBI's taxonomy places the organism in Eukaryota, Metazoa, Chordata, Aves, Suliformes, Phalacrocoracidae. The record is from RefSeq and is a predicted model, not a curated record.